Molecule: non-coding RNA, 161 nt
Submitted as: unclassified sequences
Source: Rfam
UCCGUCAGCUAAUGGCAAUUAAACUGCUGAACUUAAACUGCAUAAGUGACGGAACAUUUAAAGAAGCAUUGGUACUACACAGUGCGUUGAAAGACUGCAAAAUGUAUGUGGUAUAAAAAAUAAGGCAACGGCUGUUGGUGGUAGUACACUAACAGCUUUUG